UAAUACGGAGGGGGCUAGCGUUGUUCGGAAUUACUGGGCGUAAAGAGCGUGUAGGCUGUUUACCAAGUUAGGCGUGAAAGCCCUGGGCUUAACCCAGGAAAUGCGUUUAAAACUGGUAAGCUAGAGUUCAGAAGAGGAUAGCGGAAUUCCAAGUGUAGAGGUGAAAUUCGUAGAUAUUUGGAAGAACACCGAUGGCGAAGGCAGCUAUCUGGGAUGUAACUGACGCUGAGACGCGAAAGCGUGGGGAGCAAACAGGAUUAGAUACCCUGGUAGUCCACGCCGUAAACGAUGAGUGCUAGCUGUUGGGAGAUUUAUCUCUCAGUGGCGAAGCUAACGCAUUAAGCACUCCGCCUGGGGAGUACGAUCGCAAGAUUA
This 375-nucleotide ribosomal RNA is filed under the name uncultured Alphaproteobacteria bacterium. Its description in RNAcentral is "bacterial SSU rRNA". It matches the Rfam family "Bacterial small subunit ribosomal RNA", at positions 521 to 896 of the family's 1533-position model. Lineage: Bacteria; Pseudomonadati; Pseudomonadota; Alphaproteobacteria. The record is from RNAcentral.